UUACCGUAGGUGAACCUGCGGUAGGAUCA
This 29-nucleotide ribosomal RNA is filed under the name Gnetum neglectum. Its description in RNAcentral is "partial 18S ribosomal RNA". The record is from RNAcentral. Lineage: Eukaryota; Viridiplantae; Streptophyta; Gnetopsida; Gnetales; Gnetaceae.